RNAcentral lists this long non-coding RNA (866 nucleotides) under Homo sapiens (human). RNAcentral describes it as "HSALNT0116370". The record is from RNAcentral. Lineage: Eukaryota; Metazoa; Chordata; Mammalia; Primates; Hominidae.
GUCCUGAUUCAGGGCUGGGAGAAACGCAGCGCACCCAGGAGCAUGUCCCGGGGCCAAGGCUCCAAUCCUUGCAGAGACAAAGAAUCUGGAUUAAAUACAAAUGACCCAGUUCAAUCAAUCCCUGGCAUUCACUGAGAAUUCAGGAAACAAAUCUAAAACAGAACAACAAAGAACUGAUAUAAUUGCCACGAUGAAGCUGGGGCUGCAGGGAUUACCUCUGUGGAAUUAAGGGAAGCUGAUAAGAUUCUCCUCCUCCAUAAGGAUUAUUACAAGAGCGAUUGGGACUCGGGGAAAGAAAGCGGUUUGAACAGUAAGACUGCAAAGUCCUGAAAGAGGUUACUUGAAGCAAUUGGGAAAUCCUGAAAGCACCUAUCUGGAAGCUUUGGCUGAGACCAGGCCCAGAAGGACAGACAGACAGCACGUUCCUCUCCGGCUCUGUCCUUCUGCAGGGAAACUGAAGAUGGGUGUGUUUUGACCCAGAAUCCGCAGGGUUAGAGUUGAAUUUUACAAAUCACUUCAGGAUGCAGCGUUGAGACGGAAGACUUAGGAUUGGAGAAUUAAUUUUCUCUUCCUCCUGAGUAAAGCAGCUCUUCCUAAAGCUGAGAAUCUUAGCAGAAUGAAUAAACCAAAUGGCAGCAGUCCGGUGCUGGCAGGUCACUGCACAUGCGGACACCACCCCAAGGGAGCAAUCAGGAGAGCAGGCGCGCAAGGCCCCGGAAGCAUAUGCCAGCGUAGAAGACCCCAAGUCAAAGGUCAAACAGGGCACUUGAUCACUCAAGUCCCCCGCUAGACCCCCUUCUGCGUGUACUUUACUUUCGUUCCUGCUCUAAAAUGUUGUAAUAAACUUUCACUCCUGCUCUCAAACU